GCGUUGAUGGUGUAGUGGUUGCACAGCCAGAUCAAAGACUUCUCUGGCUUGCCCUGGUUCGAUUCCAGGUCGAUGCC
Molecule: non-coding RNA, 77 nt
Organism: Mycena floridula
Lineage: Eukaryota; Fungi; Basidiomycota; Agaricomycetes; Agaricales; Mycenaceae
Source: the annotation of a GenBank genome assembly